UGGGUGGUGGUGCAUGGCUGUUCUUAGUUGGUGGAGUGAUUUGUCUGGUUAAUUCCGUUAACGAACGAGACCUUGACCUGCUAACUAGUGUCACACUGCUGCUGUUGUGUGUCAGACUUCUUAGAGGAAUUUUGUGUGUCCAGCAUGAGGAAGUUUGAGGCAAUAACAGGUCUGUGAUGCCCUUAGAUGUUCUGGGCUGCACGCGCGCUACACUGAUGUAUUCACCCAGUUGUCACGUUGCCUGAAAAUGUGGGGUAAUCUUUGAAAGUGCAUCAUGAUGGGGACUGACUAUUGCAACUAUUAAUCUUCAACGAGGAAUUCUUAGUAGGCGUGAGUCAUCAGCUUGUACUGAUUAUGUCCCUGCCCUUUGUACACACCGCCCGUCGCUCCUACUGAUUGAGUGACCCGGUAAACAAUUUGGAUCAUAGUGUUGCUCAGUCUUAGAGUGCUGCUUGCAAAGUCUAGUGAACCUAUCACUAGAGGAAGAGAGUCGAGCAUGC
Molecule: ribosomal RNA, 500 nt
Filed under: uncultured dinoflagellate
Lineage: Eukaryota; Dinophyceae
Description: SSU rRNA
Rfam family: Eukaryotic small subunit ribosomal RNA
Source: RNAcentral